This 500-nucleotide ribosomal RNA is filed under the name uncultured bacterium. RNAcentral's name for it is "partial 16S ribosomal RNA". It matches the Rfam family "Bacterial small subunit ribosomal RNA", at positions 28 to 507 of the family's 1533-position model. The record is from RNAcentral.
GACGAACGCUGGCGGCGUGCUUAACACAUGCAAGUCGAACGGGUCUGCCCUGUUUUUUGCGGGGUGGGUCAGUGGCGAACGGGUGAGUAACACGUGAGUAACCUGCCCCUCACUUCUGGAUAACCGCUUGAAAGGGUGGCUAAUACGGGGUGUUCUGGCUGUGCCGCAUGGUGUGGCUGGGAAAGAUUCACUUUUGUGGUGUUUUGGUGGGGGAUGGGCUCGCGGCCUAUCAGCUUGUUGGUGGGGUGAUGGCCUGCCAAGGCUUUGACGGGUAGCCGGCCUGAGAGGGUUGGCGGUCACACUGGGACUGAGAUACGGCCCAGACUCCUGCGGGAGGCAGCAGUGGGGGGUAUUGCACAAUGGGCGGAAGCCUGAUGCAGCGACGUCGCGUGAGGGAUGGAGGCCUUCGGGUUGUGAACCUCUUUCGCCGGUGAAGAAGGUCCUGCUCUUUGUGGUGGGGUUGACGGUAGCCGGGUUAUGAAGCGCCGGCUAACUACGUG